RNAcentral lists this long non-coding RNA (1037 nucleotides) under Sorghum bicolor (sorghum). RNAcentral's name for it is "long non-coding RNA (SBIC_LNC011173)". Lineage: Eukaryota; Viridiplantae; Streptophyta; Magnoliopsida; Poales; Poaceae. The record is from RNAcentral.
UUCUUUUAUGCUGUAGGACCCUAGUAAUAAUGGGGAGGGUUGACGAAUUAUGUAGGUGCAGUUGCUCCAUGGAUUGAUGUCACCUAUGAACUUGAGGAAAAAACUACUGCGUGCAGCUAUAUAUAUAAGCGGCACCGGAUGGCAUGAUCUUAAUUUAACAAGUCGUGUGUAGUAGCUAACUACUUUUGGAGAGCAAAACCAUCCAAAUGCUCUGUGUUUCUAGCGUCGUCAAUUGUCAUGACUUGUUGUCUAGGCAUGGGUGGUAUUGGAAAUUUAACCUCCACUUUUCUUUGUUGUGGUGGCAAGAAAGGAGGCCAGCGUAGGAUCACUUGGCUACAUUAGUUUGCAUCACAUAUUAUUGUUCUACUGUUCCGUUUCCAUGGUAGGGUGUUUAUGUACCUUUUAGGAUGGUAGUGGAUGGUUGGUUGCAGAGAGGGAAGUAGUGGGAGGUGGAAAGGCUAGGAGUAGCACCAGGUGGUCGGUCAUGGCUUGCAUGCCACAAUUGGCACAGAAGCUAGAAACAGGGCCAGGUUAUAUAUGUUGUAUUUUGCUUGAUCCCUAUGAAACUAGUCAUGCAGGGAUGACUUUGUUAGUCUUCAUAAGCUUCGUAUUACUAAGUCCAGCCUUGGGUUACUAAUUAAGUCCAUGAAUUGUAUUCCUCGUUUCUUCUUAAUGAAUAAUGUGUAGGCACGGUCGCCGAAAAAAAGACAGCAGUCAACACAGGAGAAUAAGACAUGUGUUAUAUAUAAAGUCAAGUUAUAAGUUCUUCCUCCAUAUUACACUAAACUAAUUCUAAUCCGAAUCUGCUAAUAUCUCUGAAGGGGCUCAGCAUAUUAACACAGGUGGUCCUCUUAAGGGGUCGCCUCUAAAAAUGGCCUACGUUUUCAUAUGCUGACCACUUAAUUAAGAAGCCAGCCUCUGUAAAUCUAUUUUAGGGCCUCCAUCCACUACCAAAAUAGUAGAAUCCUUAUUAGGAAGAAUUUAGUAGGGAAAGUUUAACUAUGUUUUGAAUGUGAAAGCACUAGAACCCCACUAGG